RNAcentral lists this long non-coding RNA (361 nucleotides) under Mytilus galloprovincialis (Mediterranean mussel). Lineage: Eukaryota; Metazoa; Mollusca; Bivalvia; Mytilida; Mytilidae. The record is from RNAcentral.
AAAAAAAAAAUAAGAAUGGAAAUGGGGAAUUCGGUAUGAGUGCAAAUGACACAACUCUCCAUUCAAGCAAAAAUUCAUAAAAGUAAACCAUUAUAGGUCAAAAUACGGCCUUCAACACGUUUUUUGUUUUUUUUUUUUAUUUCUAGCAUAACAAAGGUCCGUUUUAAUUCUAGCAUAACAAUUUGUACGGUUCAUCUCUAUGAAAGGUCUUCACUUUUGAAGGUUAGAUCUAUAGGUAAAAAGCGCAAAUGUACGGUUAGUUUAUUACAGGUGAAUCAAACUUUAAAGCGCAAAUGUCCAUAGUAUUUGAAGCGCAAAUGUCCUAUCGUUUUACAGGUAAAUAAGCGCAAACGUCCUGUGC